Long non-coding RNA from Impatiens glandulifera, 500 nucleotides. RefSeq lists it as uncharacterized. The transcript is spliced from 3 exons. NCBI's taxonomy places the organism in Eukaryota, Viridiplantae, Streptophyta, Magnoliopsida, Ericales, Balsaminaceae. The record is from RefSeq and is a predicted model, not a curated record.
ACAAGGCAAAAAGGAAGAACUAUGCCGUUUAUUAGCUAAGGACAUAAAGUCAUGGUUUGAGGUUACAUAGAAGUAUGUUUUGAUGACCCAUCCCAUGCCAAUACUUACAGCUCCAUAAGUCUUAAUCAUGUAGGAUGAUGGAAACAACGGACAACAAUUAGUGGGACAGAAAAUAAGAUUAUGGUCGCCGCUUCAUAAUUGGGAUGCUAAACAUGAACCAGUUGUUGAUUUGGGGCGAUUUGUUAGGGCUGUUGAUUACCAAUGAGAUGGUUCACACUUCGCCACUGCUGGUGCUCAACUAGACAUUUGAGACCCAAUAGGUCCCAGCCAGUAAACAGGUUUGAGUGGGAUAAAGACAUAGUUAUAUUUUCUGAAGAACCAAAUGUUUUGGCAACAUCAAGAAGGUAGGUAUUUUUAGAUGAAUGAUUUAAAAUAUGUAUUGAUUGAACCAUAUAUAGUCUUAUAAAUUAUGUUGAUCAAAUAGAAUUGUUGGUUCAUUA